This 492-nucleotide ribosomal RNA is filed under the name uncultured bacterium. RNAcentral's name for it is "partial 16S ribosomal RNA". It matches the Rfam family "Bacterial small subunit ribosomal RNA", at positions 29 to 507 of the family's 1533-position model. The record is from RNAcentral.
AGUGAACGCUGGCGGUAGGCCUAACACAUGCAAGUCGAACGGCAGCACAGUAAGAGCUUGCUCUUACGGGUGGCGAGUGGCGGACGGGUGAGGAAUACAUCGGAAUCUACUUUUUCGUGGGGGAUAACGUAGGGAAACGUACGCUAAUACCGCAUACGACCUACGGGUGAAAGCAGGGGAUCUUCGGACCUUGCGCGAUUGAAUGAGCCGAUGUCGGAUUAGCUAGUUGGCGGGGUAAAGGCCCACCAAGGCGACGAUCCGUAGCUGGUCUGAGAGGAUGAUCAGCCACACUGGAACUGAGACACGGUCCAGACUCCUACGGGAGGAAGCAGUGGGGAAUAUUGGACAAUGGGCGAAAGCCUGAUCCAGCCAUACCGCGUGGGUGAAGAAGGCCUUAGGGUUGUAAAGCCCUUUUGUUGGGAAAGAAAAGCAGCAGGUUAAUACCCCGCUGUUCUGACGGUACCCAAAGAAUAAGCACCGGCUAACUUCGUG